AUAUGUUCAUUACUUUUUUUUAGGUCCUAAGAGAUACAAGAAGUUCAAAUCCAUACCCAAUAAAGAAUAAUCAGGAUUUUGUGUGUGAAAGGGCAGGAAAACACUCUCCUGCCCUGUGUGAAGAAGAGUGGUCUUGAACUAUCUGUCUUAAAGAGCAGGAUAAAGGAGCAUCAGGUAGAUAAAUCACCAAUGCCCUCUCUGUGUGACUUGUAGCAGGUCCAAGAGGUACCUUCCACUUCUUUUAUUGACCAUGAAUUGUCAAAACACAUGUGAACUACAGCGCGAUUCUGAAUCAGGGCGAGAGCGGAGGAUGAAGCCUUCACCUUCUUAGGAAGAAGAUGAAGCCAAUAAUCCAGAGGUCACCUGGGAUGUGGGCCUUCUGAUUUAAGGGCUUCUUUUGGGUCAGGCCUUGUCUCAUCUGGACUACCCUUAAAGAGAAUACAAACCUACAUCCUAAAAAUGUUCUCGCCAUUUGCCUGCAUACGUUGGUAGAACUGACGCUUUGGAGCAAUUACCAGAGUCUAAAGGUCACAGCACAGAAAGCUAAGCCCUAUACUGCUGAAAAACUAUGUUUCAGCUGUUAUCAGCAGGAUGAUCUUUGACAUGAGUUAUAUCAGUUCUGGUAAUUUUUAUUCCGAGAUGUAAGAGUGAUACGCAUGACUUCUUAAAAUAAAGGUGGCUUAUUCAAAUAUACA
This 695-nucleotide long non-coding RNA is filed under the name Dromaius novaehollandiae (emu). RNAcentral's name for it is "lncRNA (ENSDNVG00000019029.1)". The record is from RNAcentral. Lineage: Eukaryota; Metazoa; Chordata; Aves; Casuariiformes; Dromaiidae.